GUUUUCCCAGGGCCCCGGACCGGAAAUAGCUUGUCUCUAAAGAGUCAGAUGCUUUGGCGCGACCACUUUUCUUCUUUGUGGGCCGGCGUUUGCGUGUUUUUCUUUUUACACAACCGGGAAUAUCGGAGUAACAUUGUCUUUCUCUGUUUCCCUAGAUUUGCCAGAAAAUCUGCAAAGUCGUAUAGCCACAGCACGCGCAAAAGAAGAAAUCUUGAACUGAAGUGAUCGGGGAACCAAGGAUCCUCCUUCCCGCGGACCAGGACAGGCCAGAACUUGAAAGUUUCCAAGGAAGAGGAUGCUUGAGCUGAGUUAUUUAAAGAAGAAUAAAGUUUCCAAUUGAAGAGGUUGAAGAAAAUUCCAUGUAAAGGAAAUAGAAUGUUUAAAAGCAGGAAGACAUAAGAAAAUAUUUCCAGGCUCAGGAGUCUGGGGAGUGUGUGGCAGAGUAAUAGGAGAUGAGCCUGGAUCAGUAAUGGCCUCUUUUAUUAAUGCCUAUAUCAUCAGCAGUAAAUAUUUAUUCAGCAUCUAUUCUGUGUUAGAGAGCAACAUUCUACACUAAAGAAACCCUACACUCCACCCAUGAUUUCUAUCAGUAUAGUGCCACUGAAUCUUUCUAUCCAGGUAAGGCAUUGUCCAGUAAUGCUCUAAUUUUUUAAAAAUGUAGGAACCUAUGCAAUAUAUAUUUAGUGAGAGAUUGUCAGAUAUAAUGUGACAAAAUAAAAUCUUAAAUUUUUAUACUUUCAGAAACAUACAUAUUAUUAUCUUACUGGAUUUUAAUAACAGAUUUGGGAGGUACUCCUCCUUCCUAGUAGAUAAAGAAGACAAGGGCCACGUGGGGAUAGAGUCAGAACUAGAAUCAUGGUAUUCUGGCACCAGUCCAGUGUUCUUUACACUAAAGAU
Molecule: long non-coding RNA, 897 nt
Filed under: Equus caballus (horse)
Lineage: Eukaryota; Metazoa; Chordata; Mammalia; Perissodactyla; Equidae
Description: lncRNA (ENSECAG00000058185.1)
Source: RNAcentral